This 406-nucleotide ribosomal RNA is filed under the name uncultured bacterium. RNAcentral's name for it is "partial 16S ribosomal RNA". It matches the Rfam family "Bacterial small subunit ribosomal RNA", at positions 30 to 526 of the family's 1533-position model. The record is from RNAcentral.
AUUGAACGCUGGCGGCAGGCCUAACACAUGCAAGUCGAACGAGUGGCGGACGGGUGAAUAAUGUAUGUGAAACUGCCCGAUGGAGGGGGCUCACUACUGGAAACAGUAGCUAUUACCGCCUACCAGCGUAUGUGACUAGAUGGUAGGAGCUUGUAGGUGGGGUAACGGCUCACCUAGGCGACGAUCCCUAGCUGGUCUGAGAGGAUGACCAGCAACACUGGAACUGAGACACGGUCCAGACUCCGACGGGAGGCAGCAGUGGGGAAUAUUGCACAAUGGGCGCAAGCCUGAUGCAGCCAUGCCGCGUGUAUGAAGAAGGCCUUCGGGUUGUAAAGUACUUUCAGCGAGGAGGCGUUACUCGCAGAAGAAGCACCGGCUAACUCCGUGCCAGCAGCCGCGGUAAUAC